AACGUUUAGCAACGGAUCUCUUGGUUCUCGCAUCGAUGAAGAACGCAGCGAAUUGCGAUAUGUAAUGAGAAUUGCAGAAUUCAGUGAAUCAUCGAAUCUUUGAACGCACCUUGCGCCUUUUGGUAUUCCGAAGGGCAUGCCUGUUUGAGUGUCAUUAAUAUCUCAACUUCAAAAUUCUUUUAUUUUGAAGGCUUGGAUGUGGAGGUUCAUGCUGGUGAAAUAACUGGUUCCUCUUAAAUACAUUAGCGGACCUUUAUGAAUCGGCUUUGGUUUGAUAAUUAAAAUCUAUGCCAUCGCUGAGGAGUCAGUGUGUCUGCUUCCAACCGUCCUCGGACUGCCUUCUUGGCACUACUUUUAAACUUGACCUCAAAUCAGGUAGGACUACCCGCUGAACUUAAGCAUAUCAAUAAGCGGAGGCU
RNAcentral lists this unclassified non-coding RNA (419 nucleotides) under uncultured Clavulinopsis. Its description in RNAcentral is "sequence contains ITS2". The stretch from base 1 to 154 matches the Rfam family "5.8S ribosomal RNA". The record is from RNAcentral. Lineage: Eukaryota; Fungi; Basidiomycota; Agaricomycetes; Agaricales; Clavariaceae.